This 496-nucleotide ribosomal RNA is filed under the name uncultured soil bacterium. RNAcentral describes it as "bacterial SSU rRNA". It matches the Rfam family "Bacterial small subunit ribosomal RNA", at positions 26 to 513 of the family's 1533-position model. The record is from RNAcentral.
AGAGUGAACGCUGGCGGUAGGCCUAACACAUGCAAGUCGAACGGCAGCACAGUGGUAGCAAUACCAUGGGUGGCGAGUGGCGGACGGGUGAGGAAUACAUCGGAAUCUACCUUUUCGUGGGGGAUAACGUAGGGAAACUUACGCUAAUACCGCAUACGCCCUUCGGGGGAAAGCCGGGGAUCGCAAGACCUGGCGCGGAUAGAUGAGCCGAUGUCGGAUUAGCUAGUUGGUGAGGUAAUGGCUCACCAAGGCGACGAUCCGUAGCUGGUCUGAGAGGAUGAUCAGCCACACUGGAACUGAGACACGGUCCAGACUCCUACGGGAGGCAGCAGUGGGAAUAUUGGACAAUGGGCAAAGCCUGAUCCAGCCAUGCCGCGUGUGUGAAGAAGGUCUUCGGAUUGUAAAGCACGUUUAAGUGGAAGGAAGGUUGUAACCUAAGUACGUUGCUAACUUUGACGUUACCGACAGAAUAAGCACCGGCUAACUCGUGCCAGCA